AUGGACCCCGCGUCCUGAUUAGCCUAGUUGGUGAGAUAACUGCCCACCAAGGCGACGAUCAGUAGCCGACCUGAGAGGGUGAUCGGCCACAUUGGAACUGAGACACGGUCCAAACUCCUACGGGAGGCAGCAGUGGCGGAAUAUUGCACAAUGGGCGCAAGCCUGAUGCAGCAACGCCGCGUGAACGAUGAAGGUCUUCGGAUCGUAAAGUUCUGUUGCAGGGGAAGAUAAUGACGGUACCCUGUGAGGAAGCCCCGGCUAACUACGUGCCAGCAGCCGCGGUAAUACGUAGGGGGCUAGCGUUAUCCGGAUUUACUGGGCGUAAAGGGUGCGUAGGUGGUCUUUCAAGUCGGUGGUUAAAGGCUACGGCUCAACCGUAGUUAGCCUCCGAAACUGGAAGACUUGAGUGCAGGAGAGGAAAGUGGAAUUCCCAGUGUAGCGGUGAAAUGCGUAGAUAUUGGGAGGAACACCAGUAGCGAAGGCGGCUUUCUGGACUGCAACUGACACUGAGGCACGAAAGCGUGGGUAGCAAACAGGAUUAGAUACCCUGGUAGUCCACGCUGUAAACGAUGAGUAUAGGUGUCGGGGGUUAUCCCCCUCG
This 601-nucleotide ribosomal RNA is filed under the name uncultured Clostridia bacterium. RNAcentral describes it as "bacterial SSU rRNA". It matches the Rfam family "Bacterial small subunit ribosomal RNA", at positions 224 to 842 of the family's 1533-position model. The record is from RNAcentral. Lineage: Bacteria; Bacillati; Bacillota; Clostridia.